RNAcentral lists this long non-coding RNA (19186 nucleotides) under Phaseolus vulgaris (common bean). Its description in RNAcentral is "long non-coding RNA (PVUL_LNC004094)". Lineage: Eukaryota; Viridiplantae; Streptophyta; Magnoliopsida; Fabales; Fabaceae. The record is from RNAcentral.
AGGUUUGGGAAACAGUGGAUCAGGACACCCUGUGGAAAUUUAGGUUUUAUUAUGUGUUUAUUAUUUUCUUUGCUGCUAUUAUUCAUGGAUAAACUUGUGGAUUGGGAAUGCUUACCUCUUUAUGACAGGCACCGUAAAUGUCUGUGUCAGCCAUUUAAUUUUCUCUUUCUAGUCCACAGACAUUUCUUUCAGCAACUGAGUCAUUUAAUCGCAAAGAGAGUUUUGUUGCCUUUCAUGUUCUUUGUUGUCAAAACAACCUUGUUUCUUUUUUAUCAGCUAUAGUAUUUAGUUUCACUGCGAUCUCGGGAUGUGUUAUUUGGAAGUGAUGUGGUUACUCAUUUAAGGAUUGACGUGUUAUUUGGAAGUGAGGUGGUUAUUCAUUCGAGGAUUGAAUUCCAUUCCCUUUGACUUGCAUUGUUUGUGUUCAUUGCUAUCAAACAACUUUCUUCAUUUUAAAUGUAUGGAGUCUAUUUUUUUAAGAUGAAAUCCCCACUAAAUGUUUAUGUUUUAUUUUUUCUUUCUUUUUCAUCAUCUCCUAGUUAUUUGUGUUUCUCAUAGGCUUGGUCUCAUCCCUUCGACUUGCAUAUGUUUGUGUUCAUUGCUAUUGAACAACUUUCUUUUUUGCCAUUAGUCUUCUGGAGCUUUGCCAUGAGACUUCUUGAGUUUUGCCGUGAGACUUCUUGAGUUUUGCCGUGAGACUUCUUGAGCUUUGUCACAAGUCUUCUUGAGCUUUGCCACGAGUCUUCUUGAGCUCUGCCAUGAGUCUUCUUGAGCUCGGCAAUGAGUUUUCUUGAGCUUUGUCGUGAAGAAUGUAGGGGUCAGGUUUUGGAAACCGUGGAUGGAGAUGCAGUUAAAGUUUCGGUUUUAUUAUCUUUGCAUUUAUUAUGCUGAUAAAAAAAAUCUUUGCAUUCAUUAUUUUCUUUUUUGAUAUUCUUUUUGCUACUCUGGUGGAGUGGGAGUUCUUGUAAUUGGACCUUUGACUUUGAUGAUUUGAUUAUCUUCUACUUGUGUUGUAGAGAAUUUUGAGCUUUGCCAUUAGUCUUCUUGAGCUUUGCCAUGAGUCUUCUUGAUCUCUGCCUUGAGCCUUCUUGAACUCUGCCAUGAGUCUUCUUGAGCUUUGCCAUGAAUCUUCUUGAGCUUUGUCAUGAAUCUUCUUGAGCUUUUACAUGAAGGAUGUAGGGGUCAGGUUUUGGAAAUAGUGGAUGGAGAUACAGUUAAAGUUUAGGUUUUAUUAUCUUUGCAUUUAUUAUGCUGAUAAAAAAAAUCUUUGCAUUCAUUAUUUUCUUUGCUCCUAUUCUUUUUGCUACUCUUGUGGAGUGGGAGUUUUUGUAAUUGGGCCUUUGACUUUGAUGAUCUGAUUAUCUUCUUCUACUUGUGUUGCAAUGAACACUUACCAUGGAUGUUUGUUGGACAUAUUGUGAAGCUUCAGGUUUUAUUACUUUUCCACUCACUAUUUUUCUUAUGUGCUCGAUUUGGAAUGUGUACAGUUUCUCUUAUUUGUUGGAUAGUUGGAAGGUAUUUCAUUGUAUUGUAUGUAUCUAAGCAAGAGCAAUACUUCUAGGUCCUCCAUCAUCUAACCAUAUUGAUUAUAGUUUUCUUGAAUUCAUUGGCCUAAAAGGAAAGCUAAGCAAUGAAGUUUGGUGUAGGAUGUAAAAAUGGUUGGUGGAAAUUCUGUGAUCAGUGAAGCUAAAUGUUUCUCUCAUUAGGACAUUGUUGUGUUUAACUGAAUUAAUUUUUAACUGGCUAAACUUGUUGGUUUGAUUAUAAUCUUGGUUGUAUUUUGAUGGUGUAUGGUUCUAAGAGGCAUUGUGGGAUUAGCAUGAGACAAGUGUGGUUGGGCUUUACUCUUUUAUUUGAUGGUUUGCUUCUUGGUUUGGAAAGUUCUACUAUUUAAUUUUGAUGACUUCUCUGCAUAAUUCUAUAAUAUAGGUCUGUUGUUCUUUUAAUAGUUUUCCAAAACCUUUUGAUUCAUUAUUCUUGAUCCCAAACAUAGAAUUUUUGCAUGUAAUCUCGUGUGAUCCUAGACAACAAUGUCUCUUACUAUGAUGACGGACAUCAAUGUCUCUUACGCUGAAAUUUUUGAAAUUAGUAUAAGAAUGAUCCUGAAAUUGAAAUUGUUUAAAUGCUUCACUUUUGUUUCAACAAUCUCAUGUGUUUCUCGUUCCUUGAGUUUUGAAAUUUGCAUUUAUUUGUUUGCAACACAUUGAGUCUUUAUUUGAGGUUUCUCUUUCAGUUCAUUAACUCAGCAAGUGAUGGAAUAUAGUGGGACGACUAACAUGUUUAAUCAACCAGUUAUAGAUUUUUUUCUUUUUUUCCUUUAUUGUUUAUUGAGUUGAGUGCUUUGAAAAUAUUUCUGUAACCAAUUGGGAUUGAAAGUCCAGCGUUAUGCCUGGCAUUAGAUAAUUGGACUUCUUUUAUUAGUUAUCCAAACCGUUCAUUUUUUUCAUAUUUGUUCUAUUUGGACAGGAAUUGUAUGCGAGAGAGAUAAUGAAGUUUUGGAGGUGAAUUUGUUAAUUUCAGUUACGACUAUGGAGGAAUUGUAUUUUGGAGGUGAAUUUGUGAAUUUGUAUGAGACAACUUUGUUUCUCUGAAAUUUAGAGAGCCUCUUUAAUAUUGCAUGGUAGUUUUUUUAUACGAUAUACAAGUAUAUCCAGUUUUAUUUGGAUAUUUUUUAGCAACAAUGCUUUUGGAAUAGGAUUUGUUUGAGCGCUACCAUGAGAAAGUUCAACUUGAAACGACAACAACUCAUAAUAGCCUAAUUCCUUCUAUAUGAGGUUUCACCUUUUAUUUAACUUCUAAGGACUUGAUUACCAACAUUAGGAUUGAAUUGUGAUUUGUUUUUCUACAGUGGUUUAUGAUUGUCUUCAAACAAUGUUUGGAUCUCAUCGAGCCAGUUGGUUUCUGAGUUAAGAAUUUUUCUAAUAUUUUCUAAAAUUCCUCCCCUGAAACAAGUGUUUUUAGUUUUCUUGAAUUUUUGCUCUUUACAGAUAAGACAAGCAAUGGAUGUGUGACGACAUGUAGAAACAUGGGGAUCAAUUAAAGCCUUAGUUUGUCUUAAUUGGUGACUAGUUAUUUGAAUGCAGUUUUAUAUGUGGUGACAAUGAUCUAUCAAAAUAAAAAAAUUGGUUUAGGAUUUCCUCUCUAUUUGAUAUUUUCAGAUUUGAUCACCAAAUAUAAGGAUUUUCUGUUGCCAUUUGUUUCUCUGCAGUGAUGUUUGCAUUAUGGCUUUACAAGUCUUUCAGAGGAUCAGUAGUUUCAGAGGUGAAUUGUGUGUUGCAGUGUAAAUUGUUCAAGUUUAUUUAUUUGCAAAAGGGAUCAAUUCUCCAUUCAUUUUUGCAGAAGAUUAGAUGGCUAACAUUAUUGUUCGUUCAUUUGAUCCAGUAAGAGCUCAUUCUAGAAAUGUGGACUUCUCUUUAAAAGCCUUUGGUAUUUUAACUAUCUUCAAAAGAUAUUUUUUCUGGAUCUAUUGUUUUGACAGAGCAGGUCUUCGAGGAAGACACGAGUGUUGUUGAUUUUUAGAUUUGGAAUUGUUCAAGUACCAACAACAUGAUUUCAUGAUCUCUUAUGAUUUCCCCUGAAUUCUUGGUUGUUGUUUUGCCAGGGUAGGGUCUGGGUAGAUUUGGGUUUUUGGAUUCGGAAUUGUCCAACUACCAACAAUGUGUGUACAGGUUUGAAAUAGAUGAUGUGUUUGUCAGAUAUUUUCUAGGGAUAUAUAUAUAUAUAUAUAUAUAUAUAUAUAUAUAUUUAGUUGCUAGUUUUAUUUUUCAUUCAAUUACUUAAUUGCUUUAUUACUAUGAUCAUUUGAUUAUAAAAUUAUUCUUGGUAGUUAUAUAAUUAUUCAUGGUUGUUAGAUUACCUUUAAUAGUUACUGUUGUUGGAAAUAUAAUCUAGAAGUCCUUUGUUGGCUAAUGAUUCUCUAACAUUUUUUUUAAUUUUAUGGUAGUUGUAUUUUGCUUUGACAAUUUAGUUUAGUUUUUUUUAUUAACUCUGAUUGUUUCCAGCAUCGACACAUGAAUUUUGAACUUGUUCUUGCAUAAUUUAUCAUGGGAGAAAAUGAAUUGGUGGUGUAGGUUUGGGAAACAGUGGAUCAAGACCCUAUGGAAAUUUGGGUUUUAUUCUGUGUUUAUUAUUUUCUUUGCUGCUAUUAUUCACGGAUAAACUUGUGGACUGGGAAUGCUUACCUCUUUAUGACAGGCACUGUAAAUGUCUGUGUCAGCCAUUUAAUUUUCUCUUUCUAGUCCGCACUCAGACAUUUCUUUCAGCAACCAGUCAUUUAAUCGGAAAGAGAGUUUUGUUUCCUUUCAUGUUCUUUGUUGUCAAAACAACCUUUGUUUCUUUCUUAUCAGCUAUAGUAUUUAAUUCACUGCGAUCUCAGGAUGUGUUAUUUGGAAGUGAUGUGGUUAUUCAUUCGAGGAUUGAUGUGUUAUUUGGAAGUGAGGUGGUUAUUCAUUCGAGGAUUGAGUUUCAUUCCCUUUGACUUGCAUUUUUUUGUGUUCAUAGCUAUCAAACAACUUUCUUCCUUUGAAAUGUAUGGAGUCUAUUUUUUUAAGAUGAAAUCCCCUCUAAAUGUUAAUGUUUUAUUUUUUUUCUUUCUUUUUCAUCAUUUCCUAGUUAUUUGUGUUUCUCAUAGGCUUGGUCUCAUCCCUUCGACUUGCAUUUGUUUGUGUUCAUUGCUAUUAAACAACAUUUUUUUUAAAUGUAUGGAGUCUUUUUUGUUACGUCUAGAGAUGUUGAUUUGCUUGUUUUCAUUCCGUUUUAGGUGUUGAUUUGUUUGCGUUCAUUCCUUUUUAGGUGUUGAUUUGUUUGUGUUCAUUCCUUUUUAGCAUUUGGAGGCCUCAAGAAUGGUUGAGGAUUAAAAUCUGGAAGUGUUUAGAACGACCAAUAAUUCAGGAUAACCUAAUUUCAUUAGUUUCCUUUCCAUUUGAUUUCUUGAGAUUUGAUCACGAAGAAUAAGGAUUGAAUUGUCAUUUGUUUUUAUGAUGUCUUUCUUUGUUUUGAAUGUCUUAUUGUCUCUAUACUUCAACUCUAUGAGCCGUUGUAGCCUUCCUGAAUUCUUGGGGUGUACAGUACAGGACAAACAUGCAACAGAUGUUACGUAGGACAGAUGUGAGUAUCCUUAAAGCUCUAGGUUUUGGUAUCCACACAUAUUUUUGUCUUUAAUUGGGACUGGCUAUUUGAAUUUCUCUGGUUUUUGAAUUCCUUCAAUUCAUCUUAUGCUUUCUUAACUUCUUGGUCUUUAUUACCAAUAUCUAUUUUUAUUUAAAUAUAGUUCUUAAAUUUUUUAUGUCUAGGUGUUGAUUCGUUUGUGUUCAUUUCUUUUUAGCAUGUAAGACUGGUUAAGGAUUAAAAUCUGCUAGUGUACACGAAAAACAAGCCACGGAUGUGAGGUAGGAUAUCUAAAUACUGGAAGGAGAUGCUUGAUUCUGUAGGUUAUCCAUAAUCUUUGAUGACAGAUGCUUACUUGAGUUUGGAUGUAGUUAUUUAUUUGAUGAAAGAGAUCUAUCAUAUGUAACUUUGUGUUAGUUCCUUUUCAGCAGGGGAUUCUGGUUGAGGAUUAAAAAACAUAAAUUUGAAUAUUGAUUUUGUUUGAUUAUUGAAAUAUGACAAAUCUAGCUGUUUGAUCUUUGAAUAUGUUGAUUCUUUUUAGCAAAUCAUAGGUUAGUAAUAAUAAAAUGCUCAGGGAAGAUGUCUCCCCUUUACUUGAAACAUUGUAGAUAGAGCAUAUUUUUCCAGACUGAUAUGCGAGGUAGGGUGUGGAAACACUUCCCAGGGGAUUUGUGAAGCUUUAGGUUGUUACCUGUUAGAUAUUAUUAGAUAUUAUUAGAUAUUAUUAGAUAUUAUUAGAUAUAAUUAGAUAUUAUUUGAUAUUAUGAGAUAUUAUAGAUAUUGUUAGAUAUCUCAUAUUUAUGUAAUGGGCUUAGCCCAUAUGUUUCUUUUCCUAUAUAAACAUAACCCUAUGUGUUCAAUAUACACAAGGGAUUUACCCUAUUCUUUCUUUUCCUUUAAUAUUACCCUUACCAUUCUUGUGUCUUUAUUUGUGACUGACUAAACUUCUUGUUUGGAUUCUAAGUUUUGGUUGGAUUCAUUGCUAACAUUGUAGUUUGACUGGCAGUCUGGCAGUUCUUGUGGGUUUAGAGGUCGUGUAAUACUCUCUUUUUUAAGUUGUCCAUUUCUAAGUAAUUUAGGCUUCUCUUAGCUUUUACCAGUCCUGGAUUCAUAGUGAAAUUUGACCCUUUUACAUGGUGCAAUUGAAAUUAAGGAGAGAAUUAUUGAUCUUUAGUUUUCUAGUACUGAAUUAAUUUUGGAUUUGUUUUGGUGUAGCAAAUCUGAAAGGUCAUUUUCUUAGUUAUUACUUCAUUUACUAAAUAAUCAAGAGCAUUGGACAAUUUGAUUUUGUAGUGUUUUGUUUGCUGCAUUGACAAAUGAAUCUUGCAUUCUAUUGUUUUUAGGAGUUUUAGAUUACAUCCUGAAUAUGACAUGAUGAUCUCUUCUAUCUUCCAAAAUGAGAAUGAUCUGCAACAUUAGAGUUGUAUUUAGUUCUAUGUCCAAUGUGAGAAUGAGAAAAUUAAGAGCUCUAUUUAGUUUUAUCUCCAAUUAUCUCUAAUAUGAGAAUGAGAAACAACAGUAGUUGGAAUGUUUUCUUGCAAUCUUCCUGUGCUAUGAUUUAGUUCUCUCUCCAUAUAUGAGAAUAAGAAAAUGAGAAAGAGAAACAAGAUUAUUUGGAAUGUUUUGUAGUAAUCUUCUUGCACUAUGAUUCGGUUCUCUCCCAAUAUGCGAAUGAGAAACAACAAUAUUUGGAAAGUUUUGUCGUAAUCUUCUUGUGCUAUGAUUCGGUUCUGUCCCCAAUAUGCGAAUGAGAAGAUGAGAAACAACAGCUUAUGAGAGCUCCAUUUGGUUCUAUCUCCAAUAUGAGAAUGAGAAACAACAGUACAUGAGAGUUCUAUUUAGUUUUAUCUCUAAUACGAUAAAGAAGAGAAACAAAAGCAUUUGGAUUGUUCUCUUUGUAAUCUUCGUGUGCUAUGAGCAACGCCUCCCCUCGAGGCUAUGGUUACGGGUGAUGCCUCUCUAUUCCAACAUGAGAGCUCUAUAUAUUUUUUUGGGGUGGGGUCUCAAUUUAUGAUACCAUGUGGAAGCAGACACCAUAUUUUUGCCGUCUAUAUUUCUCAGCUCUUGCUGAUUUUGCCAUGCUGAACUUAGUUUUCUUGAAUUGCCAUUCUUCUUAAAUUUUUACAGUAAAGCAAUAGAUAUGUGGGGGCAGGUUUUGGAAACAUUGUAUGGAGAUCUGGUGAAACUUUAGAUUUUAUUAUCUUUGCAUAUUCAUCAUUUUCUUUGAUGGCUAAACUUGUGGAUUGGGAGUUCUUGUAAACAGGCACUAUGUGAGUUUGAGAGGCUUUGGCAAUUGUGUUGUUAGGCCUUCGAUCCUGGUGAUUUGAUAAUCUGUUGCAGUGAAGACUUUAUGGAUGUCUGUUACCCAAAUUACGGUACAUUAUUGGACUUACAUUUCCAUUUCACUAUUUUUUUUAUAUCCUUGAUUUGGUUGUGGUAUCUCUUAUUGGUUGAAUAGUGGGAAGGCACAUGUGAAUCUUAUGAUGUAUUGCCUUUAAUAGUUUUUGCUGUUGGAAAAAUAAUCUAGAAGUCCUUUCUUAGCAAAUUAUUCUCAUUAUUGUAGAAAUUCUAUAACAUUUAUUCAGGUUUUACUUUCUACAAUUAGUUUAUUUUUAUCCACUCCGAUAACUAAUUAAAUAUUUACUUUCUCUAGAAAGUAGACUAUGUGAUUGAUAUAUUUUAAUGUUAUUCAUAAAUUAGUUCUUUAUAUUAAUCAUUACAAAAAUGUUUGGUAUACACUCAUAUUUAUCAUAUUGCCUUCAAGUAGAAAGGUAUUUGUAUAGGGCAAUUGCUUCCUCCCCCAAUCAAUUUUGACUAGCAUUCAAUAGAAGUUUUAAAACUUCAUUAUGCCUUUUUCACGGCUUACGAAUGCCAAUAUCCAAAAGUGACAUAUUUGCCUAUGGAUAUUGCCAUUUGGAAGUGAUAGUUUUGCCUACGGAUAUUAACAUUCGAAAGUGUCAGUUUUGCCUACGGAUAUUGACAUUUGGAAGUGUCAGUUUUGCCUACGGACAUUGGCAUCUGGAACUGGCACUCUUUGAUUGCGUUCAUUUUUAUCCGAAAGGCACUAUCAUUUUUCUUAAUAUACAUAUCAGGAAGCCAAUCAUCCUUAACUUUUUUUUUUGGCAGUGUAAUGAUUUUGUUACUUUUAAUGGAUUAAAACCACUAAACCGAACCAAUUUAAAGAAUAAAAGUAAAAUCAACAUUAAAAUUUGUUACUUGCUUUUUAUUAUAAAAUAUUUAUAUUAUCAUUUAUAUAUUUUCAAAUGCAUUAACCAUUGAUGACAUAUAGAACAUUGUUGAGAGUAGAAAAAAAGCACCCAAUAAACACAUUUUGGAUUUUCAAAAUGGGACCUGAUGAAAAAGACUUUCGUGGUGCAUAUGGAUGUUUAUAUUCAUAACUCAUAACACAAUUACGGACAAAAAUAUUCAGAACCCGUGAGAAGCGUGAAGCGACACGUCUCCUUUUCUGGUGUCUUUGCUUUCUGUCGUUGUUGAAGUGGCUCAAAAGCGUUGCUUGCGUGUGUGUAAGACUUUCGGAAGAGAAUGUCUACAAGAAACAAUGAAUGACCUUCUGCACUGUGCUUGAUUGUGGGGUGUAUGGAACCUAAUUUCACUCAUUAAGGGUGUCAUGGUAAUUUCAUAUAGAUCAUUAAGGGUGUUAUGGUAAUUUCAAACAGAAAAUUGGGUGUUAGUUAGAAUUGAUUGGGUGCAGGAGAGUCAGCUUUGUGUAGCAAUAAAAAGUCACAAAGAAAUCUAUUCAACUCUAAAAGGUUGUGAUAUUUAACACCACAAAGAGUAAAAAACAUUCACAAAUUAAUAAAAUAAUAUUUUAAUCAUAUUUAAUUUAUUUUUAUUUUUAAAUAUUAUUAUAUUAUUAUAAUGAGAUGUUAAGUAUACGUUUUUACAUGGUGUCAAAAAAUUAUUUUCCUAUUCUAAAAGAACUUAGACAAAUGUCUUAUUAUAAUAAAACUAAUAAUGUGGAAAAUAUUUUAAAAAACACUAAUAAAAGAAAUAAGUUUAUUUUUCAAAUUGAAGUCAAAUUAAGAUUAAAACAAUCUUAAAAUUUAAUUAUAUUGACUAAAAAGUUAAUAAAAACAAAACAAUAUUUACAAGAUAUUUUUAAAUAUCUUUAAAAUAAUAACUGCAAAUUUGUUUCCCCUGUUUUGUGUCAGCGGUUUGUUAUAAGAUAAGGAUGAAAAUCUUAAUUGCAUAUUUUCACCUCACCGCGUAAUAUAAGCUGUCAAUCUUGACCCUCCCUUUCUAUAUAUACCCGAAGAUCUUAUUGAGUUUAUCAUAUUGAGUUUUGUUGGUAUUGGUUCCGUGAUUGAGUUUUGUUAGUACUGAUUGGGGGUGAUUGUUGUGCUUCUUAUUAUCAAGUCUCCGUGGUUUCGUCGAAUUAUAUCAUGUUUGCUAUCAUCGAUGUGGUUUUGAUGUGGUUUUGUCGGAUUGAAGAAUGCAAGAAUCUUUUAUAGGAUUGAAGAACGCCAAUUCUGAAUAUGAUUCUUUAUGUGAUGAUGACAAGUUUUGAAUCUUUUGAUCAAAUUCCUUUAUCCCUUUUCUGCUGGUGACGGGGUCUUUGAGUAUUUUCUUCUACUUUCCUUUCUAUUAUUUGAUUUAUCUGGUAUUGAUCACGAAAAUAAGGAUUGGACUAUGAUUUGUUUAUCUGCAGUGGUGUAACACGUUUCUUAGUUAGUUUUCUUGAUUUUUGGGCUGUACAGGGAAGACACGCAAUGGAUGUGAAAUGAAGUAUUAUGUUUUCUUGACUUCUUAUGGGUUUAUUCGUGACUGAUUAUUGGAUUUCGUAGCCUAACUUGGUGUUUAUGUUCACUCCCCUUCAGCAAUUCGAGUUUCUGAGAUUUGAAACCCUAAAAAGUUUGAAACGGUUGCAGCUCAGGACAUCCCAAUUCUCUCUAUCUAUUGUUUAAUUUCUCUCUACUUUAUCUCCAAGGAUUGAAUUGUGUUCGACGUUUGAAUUAUUUUCCCUUAAUGUUAUGAGGCCCCAAGGGUUGAAUUGGUGUUUGAAUUAUUUUUUUCGCUUAAUGUCCUGCAGAGUAUGUUAUGAGACAUAAGGGCUGAAUUGUGAUUUGUUUCCUGUUUGGAUGAUUUGCAUAGCAUCUUAUAGAAUAUGAAUGGUUUGGUUUUCGCACGGUUCUCGCGAGUAUGUUAUAGCCACCAUUCUUCCUUGGUUUUUAAGUCUUCAAUUUAUCUUAUCGUUCUAUACUUCAUCCUCGAUUACCAGUUAUACUUUGUUGAAUUAUUGUUCUUUACAGGGAUGAGUGGGGAUAAGACAGGGAUGUGUGGGUAGGACGUUCCUCGUGGUUGGUUGAAAAUGGUGGAUGAGCCAUGCUCGACGGUAUGAAAAACACAACGACAAUGGGCUCGACAUAACCGAAGUCUUUUUUGAGUUUUCCUUCUAUUUUUCUUCAACAUAAGGAUAUGAUUUGUUUAUCUGCAGUGGUGUUUUGAACCUUUUGCGUAAAUUUCUUUGCUCCUUUUCAGUUGGUGGCCGAUUCUCUGGCGUUUCUUUAGCUUUUGGAUGAUUUGAAAACUAGAACGACCAAGAGCUAGGCAUAACCUAAGUCUUUGUUGAGUUUCCCUUCUUUAACUUUUUUUUCUGCUAUUGAUCACAGUACAUAAGGAUUGAACUAUGAUUUGUUUAUCUGCAGUGGUGUUUGGAUUAGUUGGGUAACGACACAUACUCAUCUUAUCAUGUUCCUAUAACUAGUAAAUUCAUUUACUGAAUUUUGAGUAUAAUUGUCUAUUUGAGUAUGACGAGUUUUAUACCUUUUGCGUAAAUUUCUUUUCAGCUGGUGGCUGGUUUUUUGGUAUUUCUUUUGCCUAUGGAUGAUAUGGAAAGCACAACGACCAAGGGCUCGACAUAACCUUAAGUCUUUUUUUAGUUUCCCUUCUAUUUUUGUUAUGGUAUUGCAUAAGGAUUGAACUAUGAUUUGUUUAUCUGCAGUGGUGUUUGGAUUAGUUGGGUAACGUCACAUAUUAAUCUUAUCAAGUUUCUAUAAUUAGUAAAUUCAUUUAUGUCUAUAUGAGAAUGACGAGUUUUGAACCUUCUGCGUAAAUUUCUUUGCACCUUUUCAGCUGGAGUUCUCUGUCAUUUCUUUCUCCUAUGGAUGAUAUGAAAAGCAGAAGGACCAAGGGGCUCGACAUAACCUAAGUCUUUUUUGACUUUUUUUUUCUAUUUUUCUUUUUCCUGGUAUUGAUGACAGUACAUAAGGAUUGAACUAUAAUUUGGUUAUCUGCAGUGGUGUUAGGAUUAGUUGGAUAACGACGCAUAUUCAUCUUACAAGUUGCUAUAACUAGUAAAUUCAUUUAUGUGAAUUUUGAGUAUAAUUCUCUAUUUGAGUUUGACAAGUUUUAAACCUUUUGCGUAAAUUUAGUUUCAGCUGGUGGCUGGUUUUUUUGCCUUUCUGUUGCCUAUGGAUGAUAUGAAAAGCACAAUGACCAACGGGCUCGUCAUAACCUAAGUCUUUUUUGAGUUUUCCUUCUUUUUUUCUUUUUCCUGGUAUUGUUCACAGUACAUAAGGAUUAAACUAUGGUUUUGUUUAUCUGCAGUGGUAUUUGGAUUAGAUGGGUAACAACGCAUAUUCAUCGUAUCAAGUUUCUAUAACUAGUAAAUUCAUUUACGUCAAUUUUGACUAUAGUUCUCUAUUUGAGUUGACACUAUAGUUCUUUAUUUGAGUAUGACGAGGAAAAUUACUUAAAUUUCUUUUCAGCUGAUCAAGGGCUCAACAUAACCUUAAAUCUUUUUUGACUUUCCCUUUUAUUAUUUUUUUUAGGUAUUACAUAAGGAUUGAACUAUGAUUUGUUUAUCUGCAGUGGUGUUAUGAUUAGUUGGGUAACUUCACAGAUUCAUCUUAUCAAGUUUCUAUAAUUCAUUUAGGUGAAUUCUGAGUAUAAUUCACUAUUUGAGGAUGAUGAGUUUUGAACAUUUUGUGUAAAUUUCUUUGCAUAUUUUCAGUUAUUGGCUGGUUCUCUGGCAUUUCUUUUGCCUAUGAAUGAUAUGAGAAGCACAACGACCAAGGGGCUCAACAUAACCUAAGUCUUUUUUGAGUUUUCCUUAUAUUUUUCUUUUUACUAGUAAUAAUAACAGUACAUAAAGAUUGAACUAUGAUUUGUUUAUCUGCAGUGGUGUUUGGACUAGUUGGGUAACGACGCAGAUUCAUUUUAUCAAGUUUCUAUAACUAGUAAAUUCAUUUACGUGAAUUUUGAGUAAAAUUCUCUAUUUGAGUAUGACGAGGUUUAAACCUUAUGCGUAAAUUUCUUUUCAGCUGGUGGCUGGUUUUUUGGCAUUUCUUUUGCCUAUGGAUGAUAUGCAAAGCACAACGACCAAGGGCUCGAUAUAACCUUAAGUCUUUUUUGAGUUUCCCUUAUAUUAUUCGUUAAUGGUUUUACAUAAGGAUUGAACUAUGAUUUGUUUAUCUGCAGUGGUGUUUUGGAUUAGUUGGGUAACGUCGCAUAUUCCUCUUAUCAAGUUUCUAUAGUUAGUAAAUUCAUUUAUGUCUAUAUGAGGAUGACAAGUUUUGAACCUUCUGCGUAAAUUUCUUUGCACCUUUUCAGCUGGCGUUCUCUAGCAUUUCUUUCUCCUAUGGAUGAUAUGAAAAGCAGAAGGACCAAGGGGCUCAACAUAACCUAAGUCUUUUUUGAGUUUUUUUUUCUAUUUUUCUUUUUCCUGGUAUUGAUGACAGAACAUAAGGAUUGAACUAUGAUUUGUUUAUCUGCAGUGGUGUUUGGAUUAGUUGGAUAACGACGCAUAUUCAUCUUACAAGUUUCUAUAACUAGUAAAUUCAUUUACGUGAAUUUUGAGUAUAAUUCUCCAUUUGAGUGUGACGAGUUUUAAACCCUUUUUGUAAAUUUACUUUCAGCUGGUGCCUGGUUUUUUGGCCUUUCUGUUGCCUAUGGAUGAUAUGAAAAGCACAACAACCAAGGGCUCGACAAAACCUUAAGUCUUUUUUGAGUUUCCUUCUAUUUUUUUAUGGUACUACAUAAGAAUUGAACUAUAAUUUGUUUAUCUGCAGUGGUGUUUGGAUUUGUAUAACGUCACAUAUUCAUCUUAUCAAGUUUCUAUAAUUAGUAAAUUCAUUUAGGUCUAUAUGAGGAUGACGAGUUUUGAACCUUUUGCGUUAAUUUCUUUGCACCUUUUCAGCUGGAGUUGAGUUGUGAACUUGUUUGGAAGUUUUGCAUGUAAUCUCCUUUGAGCCUAGACUGCAAUGUCUCUUAUGCUGAAAUCUUUGAAAUCAGAAUAAUGAACCGGAGUGACAACAAUGCUCUAACGCUGAAAUUUUUGAAAUCAGUAUAAUAAUGAUCCUGAAAUUGUUUAAAUGCUUCACUUUUGUUUCAACAAUCUCCAUUUAUGUUUCUCAUUCUUCGAGUUUUGAAAUCAGCAUUUAUUUGUUUGCAGCACAUUUUGUCUUUAUUUGAGGUUUCUCUUUCAGAUUGUUAACUCAACCAGUGAUGGAAUAUAGUGGGACGGCUAACAUGUCUUAUCAACAAGUUUGAGUGUUUAUCCAAAACCAUUCCAUUCAUUUCUUUUUCAUAUUUGUACAAUUUGGAAAAGGAUUGUAUCCGAGAAAGAUAAUGGAGUUUUGGAGGUGAAUUUGUUAAUUUUAAUCAGAUUGACGAACGUCUCUUGGACAGGAUUUCGUCUCUAUUUGAUAUUUUCAGAUUUGAUCACCAAACAUAUGGAUUUUCUGUUGUCAUUUGUUUUUGUGCAGUGAUAUUUGCAUAAUGUUUCAUGCUACGUCUAAUCAAUCAUGUUGUUUGGAAGUUUGUAUGACUCUUGAUAACAGGCUUUACAAGAGUUUGGGAGGAUUAGUAAUUUCAGAGGUGAUACCUAUUAUCAUAUUUGUGUCUUGUAGUGUGAACUGUUCAAGUUUAUUCAUUUGCAAGAGGGAUCAAUUCUCCACUUUUGAUGCAGAAGAUUAGAUGGCUAACAUUAUUGUCCGUUCAUUUGAUCCAGCAAGAGCCCAUUCUAGAAAUGUGGUCUUCUCUUUAAAGGCCUUUAGUAUUUUACUAUCAUAAAUAGAUAUUAUUUCUGGUUCUAUUGUUUUGACUGAGAGGAAGUCACAAGUCUUGUUGAUAUAUGAUGAUCUCUUAUCAUUUCCCCUUAAUUCUUGGUUGUUGUUUUGACAGGGUAGGGUUUGGGGAGUCUGGGUUUUUGGAUUAGGAAUUGUCCAACCACCAACAAUGUGUGUACAAGUUUGAAAUAUAUGAAUGAAGGCUGUCAAGGAAAAUGAUUACAGCAAUGAAGGCUAAAAAAAAAAUUGCGGAAGCAGAGUCUCCUAGAUCAGGAUAUAUAUAUGCUAGAGUGGAAAGAAAUAGAUGAAAUAUAUUUCUGAGAUAUCUUACAAAUGUGAUUACAGUCUCUAUUUAUAGACUGUUUUACAACCUAAUUAAAGAAAGAAAUAAUAGGUGAUGAAAGCCAGAAAUAAAUAAUGAGUGUUUAAAGCUGUACAAAUCAAAUAAAAUAAAAUCACUAACAAAUCUGUACUAAUAAAUAUAAAAUGGAAUCUGCACUUAAUUAUAACAUAAUUCUCCUGAUUAUGCAACAGUUAGUUUGAAUUUUAUUGAAUUACAUAAAUGCUUUAUUAAUAUGAUCAUUUGAUUAUAGCAGAAUUGUAGUGGUUUUUAUAAAAUUAUUCUUAGUAGUUAUAUAAUUAUUCAUGGUUGUUAUAUUACCUUUAAUAGUUAUUGUUGUUGGAAAAAUAAUCUAGAAGUCCUUUGUUGGCUAAUGAUUCUCUAACAUUUUUUUAAAAAUUUUAUAGUAGUUGUAUUUUGAUUUGACAAUUUAGUUUAGUUUCUUUUAUUGACUCUUAUAGCUAAUUAAUAUUGACUUUCAUUAGAAUGUUGAUGAUGAUGUGAAUGAUGUGUUUUAAUGUUGAUUGUGUUGUGAUUCUAUUUUAUAAAAUAUUGUUUUAUGGUAAUCAUUAAUCAAUUGCUUUGUAUACACUCAUUUAUCAUAUUGCUGUAUGACAAAUCUUAAAGCCCUCUAAGAGAAAGGUUCCUGGGUUGCUUUGUGGAAAGUUUUAAACUCGCUCGCAAUGGUAAAGGAUGGAUCAAUGUGCUUUUAUGCAAGAAUUAUUAGUAAAUUCAUUUACGUGAAUUCUUAGUAUAAUUCUCUAGUUGAUUAUGACGAGUUUUUAACCUUUUCAGCUUAUGGCUGGUUCCCUAACAUUUCUUUUGCCUAUGGAUGAUAUGAAAAGCCCAACAAUCAAGGGCUCAACAUAAAGAAAGUCUUUUUUGAGUUUCCCUUCUAUUAUUCUUUUUGCUGGUAUUGAUAACAUAAGGAUUGAACUAUGAUGUGUUUAUCUGCAAUGGUGUUUGGAUUAGUUGGGUAACAUCGCAUAGUCAUCUUAUCAAAUUUCUAUACUUUGUCUUAAUAAGAGUGUUUAUUGUUUCCUUCAAUUUUUGGACUAUCGUUUCCUUCAAUUAAAUUUGGUGUUUGUGUUCAUUCCUUUUCAGCAAGUCCUGAGUCUUUGAGAUUUCUUUUGGUGGUUGAGGAACUACAGAAUGGUUGUAGAUCAGGAUAUCCUAAUUUCUCUAUACUUGAUCACCGAACAUUGAAUAGUGAUUUGUUCUUAUGCAGUAAACAUAAGGAUUUAAUUUUGAUUAUUUUCGUAUAAUGUCCUUUAUCUCAUGGAGUAUGUUAUGUGGCAUAAUAGUUUAAUUGUAAUUUGCUUCUUUGCAGCGUGAAAUUGGCUUACCGUAUUGCAUCUUAUGGGGUAUGUUAUGAGUGACCGUGUCUCCCUUAAUUUUUUAAUUUAUCUAAUAGUCCUUUAUUACCUGUUAUAGUUUUGUUGAAUUAUUGUUCUUUAUAGGGAUGUGUGGUAAUUAGCAAGAGCUCAGGACUAUUUGGUUUCAAUUUUUUUAUAACAAAACUUUAUUUUGCCUUUAUUAGUUUCCUUCAUUGACAAAUGAAUUUUGAACUUGGUUCUUGCAAAGCAUCAAUGUCCUUGCCUAAUUUGUGUUUCAAGAUUAUUGAUCUUUCGUAUUGAAGUUCUGAAAAUUUAGGUGGAGCAGUAUUGAAAAGAUGGAUCUUGAAGUUAUUCCUUUCAUUUUAGUAGUGUAAUUAGCAAGAGCUCAGGAUUAUUUGCCUCCAUUCUUUGAUUACAGAACUUUUUAUUUUGUUUGUUCCUGCAUCGACAAAUGAAUUUUGAACUUGUUCUUGCAUAAUUUAUCAUUGGGAGGAAAUGAAUUGGUGGUUUAGGUUUGGGAAACAGUGGAUCGGGACCCUGUGGAAAUUUAGGUUUUGUUCUAUGUUUAUUAUUUCUUUGCUGUUAUUAUUCACGGAUAAACUUGUGGACUGGGAAUGUUUACCUCUAUAUGACAGGCACUGUAAACGUCUGUGUCAGCUAUUUAAUUUUCUCUUUCUUGUCCACACUCAGACAUUUCUUUCAGCAACUGAGUCAUUUAAAAGAGAGUUUCGUUUCUUUUCAUGUUCUUUAUUGUCAAAAUAACCUUUCUUUCUUUCUUAUCAGCUAUAGUAUUUAGUUUCACUGUGAUCUCGGGAUGUGUUAUUUGGAAGUGAUGUGGUUAUUCAUCCAAGGAUUAAUGUGUUAUUUGGAAGUGAUGUGGUUAUUCAUUCAAGGAUUGAGUUCCAUUCUCUUCGACUUGCUUUUGUUUGUUGUGUUCAUUGCUAUCAAACAACUUUCUUCCUUUUAAAUGUAUGGAGUCUAUUUUUUUAAGAUGAAAUCCCCACUAAAUGUAAUGUUUUUUUUUUCUUUCUUUUUCAUCAUUGCCUAGUUAUUUCUGUUUCUCAUAGGCUUGGUCUCAUCCCUUCAACUUGCAUUUGUUUGUGUUCAUUGCUAUCAAACAGCUUUCUUCUUUUUAAAUGUAUGGAGCCUUUUUUGCUACGUCUAGAUGUUGAUUUUCUUGUGUUCAUUCAUUUUUAGGUGUUGAUUUGUUCGUGUUAAUUCCUUUUUAGCAUCUCGAGACUGCCGGAAUGGUUGAGGAUUAAAAUCUGAAAUUGUUUAGAACCACCAAUAAUUCAGGAUAACCUUCAACUUUGUUUUAGGUGUCAUUUGUUUUAUGUCUCUCUUUGUUUUAAAUGUCUUAUUGUCUCUAUACUUCAACUUUAUGAGCCGUUUGUAGCCUUCCUGAAUUCUUGGGGUGUACAGGACAAACAUGCAACAGAUGUGAGGUAGGAAAGAUGUGAGUAUCCUUGAAGCUUGAAUACUGGCAGGAGAUCCUUGAAGCUUUAGGUUUUGGUAUCCACACAUAUUUUUGUCUUUAAUUGGGACUGGCUAUUUGAAUUUCUCUGGUUUUUGAAUUCCUUCAAUUCAUUAAUUCAUUUUGUCCUUUCUUAAAUUCUGGGUCUUUAUUACCAAUAUCUAUUUGAAUUUAAAUAUAGUUCUUAAAUUUUUUAUGUAUAGGUGUUGAUUCGUUUGUGUUCAUUCCUUUUUAGCAUGUAAGACUGGUUGAGGAUUAAAAUCUGCAACUGUACACGAAAAAACAAGCAACGGAUGUGAGCUAGGAUAUCUGAAUACUGGAAGGACAUGCUUGAUUCUAUAGGUUAUCCAUACUCUUUGAUGACAGAUGUCUACUUGAGUUUGGAUGUAGUUAUUUAUUUGAUGACUGAGAUCUAUCAUAUGUAACUGUUUAUCUGCUUGUGUUAGUUCCUUUUCAGCAGGGGAUUCUGGUUUAGGAUAAAAAAACAUAAAUUUGAAUAUUGUUCUUGUCCGAUUAUCAAAAUAUGUAAAACCUAGCUAUUUGAUGUUGAUUCUUUUUUAGCACAUUAAAGGUUAAUAAUAAUACAAUACUCAGGGAAGAUGUCUCCUCUUUAUUUGAAACUUUGUAGAUUGAGCAUAUUUUUCGAGACUGAUAUAUGAGGUAGGAUGUGGAAACACUGGGAUUUGUGAAGCUUUAGGUUUUGUUAUCCUUACAUUUCUUAUGUUUUUAUUUGUGACUAACUAAACUUCUUGUUUGGAUGCUAAGUUUUGGUUGGAUUCAUUGCAGACCUUGUAGUGUGUCUGACAGUUCUUAUUGGUGUAUAUGUAGCAAUCACUAGCAGACUAUUAGAGGUCCUGUAAUUUGGGGAGGAUUUGUCUGACAGAAUUUCUAACAACUUAAUAUGAAGUACUGAAUUAAUAGUGAAAAAAAAGAUAAAGAAAAAAUAUCAUGGCCAUUAAAAGUUUAUGUUUCUUGUCCUGUUCAGCCAUGGCACUUGUCAGUGAGCUCUUGCUUCUUUCUCUAUUGCCCCAUAUGCAUACUUUUUCGCAUUUCUUACUCUUUUUUUAAGUUGUUCAUUUUUAAGUAAUUUAGGCUUCUCAUACUGGUUUCAUAGUGAAAUUUGAGCCUUUUACAUGGUGCCAUUGAAAUUAAGGAGGGAAUUAAUGAUCUUUAGUUUUAUAGUACUGAAUUAAUUUGGAUUUGCUUAGGUGUAGCAAAUUUGAAAGGUCAUUUUCUUAGUUAUUACUUCAUUUACUAAAUUAUCAAGAGCAUUGAACAAUUUGAUUUUGUAGUGUUUUGUUUGCUGCCUUGACAAAUGAAUCUUGCAUUCUAUUGUUUUUAGUAAUUUUGGGUUACAUUCUGAAUAUGACAUAUGAUGAUCUCUUAUAUCUUCCAAAAUGAGAAUGAUCUCCAACAUUAGAGCUGUAUUUAGUUCUAUCUCCAAUGUGAGAAUGAGAAAAUUGAGAGCUGUAUUUAGUUUUAUCUCCAAUUAUCUCUAAUAUUAGAAUGAGAAACAACAGUAGUUGAAAUGUUUUCUUGUAAUCUAUCUUCGUGUGCUAUGAUUCAGUUCUCUCUCCAUAUAUGAGAAUAAAAAAUGAGAAAGAGAAACAACAUUAUUUGGAAUGUUUUGUCGUAAUCUUCUUGCACUAUGAUUUUGUUCUCUCCCAAUAUGCGAAUGAGAAAAUGAAAAACAACAGUAUUUAGAAAGUUUUGUCGUAAUCUUGCGCUAUGAUUUGGUUCUCUCCUCAAUAUGCAAUGAGAAGAUGAGAAACAACAUUCCUUAACUUGUAAUUGAUUUUAUAUUAAUUGUUUAACUAUUCACUUCAUGUUUUUCUAAUUUGAAGAUAUCUCUUUACUAAAAACAAUGUAAUUAAUUUUAUAUUAAUUGUUUAGCUAUUCA